RNAcentral lists this ribosomal RNA (400 nucleotides) under uncultured archaeon. RNAcentral's name for it is "bacterial SSU rRNA". It matches the Rfam family "Archaeal small subunit ribosomal RNA", at positions 971 to 1372 of the family's 1478-position model. The record is from RNAcentral.
CCUGAUUUUUCCGAGAGGUGGUGCAUGCCCGCCGUCAGUUCGUACCGUAAGGCGUUUUGUUAAGUCAGAUAACGAACGAGACCCUCAUUGCCAUUUGCUAGGCUCUUCUCAGGAAGGGUUGCACUAUGGCGAUACCGCCACUGCUGAAGUGGAGGAAGGAGGGGGCAACGGUAGGUCAGUAUGCCCCGAAUCUCCCGGGCUACACGCGCGCUACAAAGGGCAGGACAAUGGGCUUCGACGCCGAAAGGCGGAGGCAAUCCCGAAACCUGCUCGUACUUCGGAUUGAGUGCUGCAAUUCGCCCUCAUGAAGCUGGAAUCCGUAGUAAUCGCGGGUCAACAUCCCGCGGUGAAUAUGCCCCUGCUCCUUGCACACACCGCCCGUCAAACCACCUAGUUGGGU